This 114-nucleotide ribosomal RNA is filed under the name Bacillus subtilis. Lineage: Bacteria; Bacillati; Bacillota; Bacilli; Caryophanales; Bacillaceae. RNAcentral also lists the same sequence under 2 other names. The record is from RNAcentral.
UGGUGGCGAUAGCGAAGAGGUCACACCCGUUCCCAUACCGAACACGGAAGUUAAGCUCUUCAGCGCCGAUGGUAGUCGGGGGUUUCCCCCUGUGAGAGUAGGACGCCGCCAAGC